UGUUUUAAAUUUUUGUUUCUUUACUGGGGUUCUUCAAGGUCCGACUGUAGGCUGCAGCUAGGUAUUUCUACAAAAUUCGGAACAAAUUAAAAUUACGCAAAGAUAUCGUUUCGCUGAUCUGAACUGAASUAGAACUCCACUGAGUUCAUCGUUCGUUCUCUCUAAUUUCCGCUCAAUCUCAACCGCUUGAUGGCUGACUUCAUCAAACACCAUCGUGAUCAAUAAAUCGCAACCGUAGUCUUCAUCCUCCGUGCCUUCUCACUCCCUUAUUCAUCUAAAUUCGUUUCUGCAAAUCACCUUUAAUCGCCGGCACGUCACUGGGUUCAGCUCAUCUGAAGCAUUUCAUACCAUGGUCUCGUUGAUUCAUGAGCGAUCUCUGGUUUCUUUGAUCUGCAUCGCCUUGAAUGCKGUAGAUUCGGGUGUCAACUGAACARUCUGUACGUUUCCAUUGCCUUUUCAGCUCCCCAUGGCUGAAUUUGAGAUCUUAAACUCUGCCAGCUACCUACUUCACUAUCUUCAUGUAGCUUCUUGACUUGAGAAAUUCAGAGUUAGCAUAUGUUGCUGAUUUAGGCACUUGAUUUUUGUUCCUCUGGGCCAUGCGGAUCAGUUGAAGUAAUUCAGUUAGGCUGUUGUUGGGGGGAUGAUAAUGCCUCCUUCUCCAGCAUUGAGGAGCUCUCCUGGUAGAGAGCUCASAGGCAGCAAUCAUAAGCGAGGCCACAGCUUUGAGAGUGGCAUGUGCAUAAGAGAGAAAGAUGACGAUCUUGCUUUAUUCAAUGAAAUGCAGACUCGAGAAAGAGAGAGUUUCCUGCUUCAGUCGGCAGAGGACUUGGAGGACUCAUUUUCUACAAAGUUGAGGCACUUUUCCGAUAUCAAGCUUGGUAUCUCCAUUCCUGUUCGUGGAGAGAAUAGUGAAUUGCUUAAUGUAGAUGGGGAGAAAAAUGACUAUGACUGGUUGUUAACACCUCCCGACACCCCUCUUUUCCCUUCAUUGGACAAUGAUCCGCCUCCAGUUACUCUUGCAAGCAGGGGGAGACCUCGUAGUCAACCCAUUUCCAUAUCACGAUCAUCCACGAUGGAAAAAAGUCACAGAAGCAGUACGAGUAGGGGUAGUGCAAGUCCUAAUCGUUUAAGCCCAUCGCCUAGGUCAGCAAGCAGUGUGCCUCAAAUGCGGGGAAGGCAACUGUCAGCCCCGCACUCUAGCCCAACUCCAAGUCUACGACAUGCCACACCAUCUAGAAGAUCAACUACCCCUGCAAGAAGAUCAUCACCUCCUCCAAGUACACCAUCAAUAUCUGUGACAAGGUCUUCCACCCCAACUCCCAGGAGGUUGAGCACAGGGUCGAGUGGAACUUCUACCACAUCUGGGGCAAGGGGAACUUCACCUAUAAAGGCAGUAAGAGGAAAUUCUGCUUCACCUAAAAUAAGAGCAUGGCAAACUAAUAUUCCUGGUUUCUCUUCUGAUGCUCCCCCUAACCUUCGAACAUCCCUGGCUGAUCGGCCAGCAUCAUAUACGAGAGGAUCUUCACCAGCUUCUCGAAACAGUAUGGACCUUCAAUACAAGUACAGUAGGCAAUYGAUGUCUCCAACUGCUCCUAUCAGCUCAUCCCAUAGUCACGAUCGAGAUCGCUAUAGCUCUUACAGUAGAGGUUCGAAGGCCUCAUCUGGUGAUGAUGAUUUAGACUCCCUGCAGUCAAUUCCUACUAGCAGUUUGGAUAAUUCAUUGUCAAAAGGAGGGAAUACAUUUUCAAAUAACAAAGCUCUGACCAUAUCAAAGAAACACAGAAUAGUGUCUUCUACUUCCACUCCCAAAAGAUCCCUCGAUUCCACUAUUCGACAAUUGGAUCGAAAGAGCCCGAAUAUGUUUAGGCCACUUUUAUCAAGUGUCCCCAGUACCACCUUUUAUACUGGCAAGGUGAGUUCUGCCCAUCGUUCUCUGAUUUCCAGGAACUCCUCAGUCACAACUAGCAGUAAUGCAAGUUCUUAUAAUGGUGCAAGUAUUGUACUUGAUACAGAAGUGAGUGACCUAAAUCAGGAUGAUAUGGCAAAUGAAUGUGAGAAAGUGCCAUAUCAUGACAUUCAUGAAGAGAUAUUCGCUUUCGAUAAGAUGGAUAUUGUUAAUGAAAAUCCCAUUAAUGAUAUCAAGUCACUUGAUAGUGGCCCUGCACCUGGUUGUGAUCCUGUUCUCACUGAAGAUAGCAGUCACCAAACUAUUAUCCCAGAAAUAAGUUCCACUUUUGACUCUUCUCGUGCCCAGGGGAAUGCUUUUUCAGAGGUUGUUUGCCUUGAUGAUAUAAUUUUGUGUCCCAGAUGUGGUUGUAGGUAUUGUGUCAUUGACACAGAGGAAAAUWACAUUAAUCUUUGUCCAGAAUGCAGUAGGAAAGAAAAAUACCUUGGCAUGACCCUUUUGGAAAAUAUGACUUYAGUUACUGAAAGCAUAUCAGGGUAUUCAAUAAAGUAUGAAGCAGGUAAGCCUUUCAAUAAGGUGGAGUCAGGGGUGAUUUCGCUUGAAUCUUCCCUAGCUACUGAUUUGGGUGAAUCUAGGAUUUCCGAGUCUCUGGGCAAUGUUGAGCAAGAUCAAGCAUCUUAUCCUGAAGAAGGCUUGAGUUACCAGAAAGAAAACUUCCCCUCAGAAACACCGGUGAGCGAAAGUCAGCAUAGCCUUAUCAACCAUUCAGAGAUAGGCCAAUUAGUUGUUAGUGGCAGUCAGUCCAACACUGAAUCUGGAUAUCAGCAACCUCUUCAUCAUAACGACUAUAAAGAUUUGAGGUUUGAUUCAUCAGAAGGUGCAGGUAUUUCUAUAUUGUUAAAGAGAUCGAGCAGCAGUAAGGGCCCUAUUGUCCAAGGAAGAACUUUUACUACAAGUACCAUAUCUUAUGAUGAUCUGUCUUUUGCAAGAGAUAGCAUGAGCAGUUUGAGAAGUUCUGUUGGACACAGCAGUUUUUCUGCAUCAUCAUCGGCUGAUUUCAGCUCAGCCAGACAGAUUGAAGCCCGAAUACAACGUCAGGUAAGUUCAAGGAAAGGGGAAUUAGAGAGCAAAAAGGGUGAAAUUUGCGUGAAAUCUCAUAUCUCUGAGGCAGCUUCUUCUGGAACACCUACCAAUGCUCAUCCUGUAUUAGGCUUUGAAACUUGUGAGCAAGAGGAAAAUUUGGAUUUUACUGUGGCCAAUUUAGAAUGUUUUUCCAGUCAGGGAACUACUAAUUCUUCUCAGAAACCUGAACUAGCUUCUGAAAAUGCUGAAUCAGAUGACACCUCUUCAAUUGUGGUUGCUGUUGUAGAGGAGGAUAAAUUUGAAUGCGACAACCGUAGAAUACUGGACACUUGUACCUCGGAAUCGUCAAGGGAGGACUUAUCAGGUGGUAGGAGUGUCUCAGAUAAAGAAGCACCAGUUACAACUUCCGACUGUUCCAAAUUGGAGGGACACAACAUGCCGGAUGUUAGUGCGUUUGAAGAUGAACAACAUCCCAAUCAUUUAAUGACCACAAUAUCAGAAAAAGAAACGAAACAAAUAGCUGAGGUGAUAGCACCUGGUUCACAGAGUGAUUUAUCAAUAAUAUCAAAAAGUCUCCUGGAGGAGGAAUCUAUGGUUCCUAGUGGGCCUGACGAGGAUUUAACACCACCUGUUAUUAAUACUGAAAAAUCUUAUGGUAUCCUAGAAGAAUCAACAGUAAUUGUCGAUUACCAGGGCAGAAGAAAGGUGGUGAGAAGCUUGACACUUGAAGAGGCAACAGAUACAAUUCUUUUCUGCAGCUCUAUUGUUCAUGAUAUAGCCUAUUCAGCUGCUUCCAUAGCAAUUGAAAAGGAAAACGAGGUUACAUUGGAAGGCUCACGGCCGACGGUUACCAUUUUGGGAAAAUCUAACACUGACAGAAGCGAUCUACGCAGUAGAACAGGCGGCAAACGGGUCAUGAAAUCUCAAAAACUGAGACAACGGCAUGUGGAAAUGAGUACAAAGCCUCCUGUUACGAAGACAGAGAAUGACGAGAACACCGACGAGUCCACCAUUCGAAAUGUAGGUCUUCCUAACCAAGUGGACAGCAUGAAACCUCUAAAGCUGGAAUCCAAAUGCAACUGCAGUAUAAUGUGACUCCGAUGAAGACUGUCCUUGUUUGUUCAUCCUUCCCAGCUCCUACGACAGAUCUCGCUACCACAUAUUUAACAAAAAAGACCUCAUGUUCUUGGGCCUGAUAGUCACUUGGUUUCAACCGAAUCCAGUUUAAUGUAUAAGAAAUGCCACGUCGAAUUGGUGACGUAAAUGGUUCAAUCAUUGACGGAAGUUAUGUACAGUUAGAGAGAUAUUUGACUCAGUCAAGCUGGUGCAACAGUACUACUAUAGCCAUUGAGCUGCAGUUCUGUCUGAUUGCUGAUGCUGCUGGCUGCUCCAACAGUUUGUAAAACUUGGUCAAGUUGAGGAGAACAACUGUGACCUCUGGAUAUCUUAAGAUAUUGCUCAUCCAUCAUGUUAAAUAAAGUUCUUGCUUGGGUUGGAAGAACAAGGUUUUCCUUAGGCAAGAUCUGGAAGGAACUUCUAAAAGUUCUUCAGGGGAUUUUCACAUCGUGCAAUGGGGCAAGACUAAAUUAGCUAUAUUUUUGGAGUUUGGCUUCGAUAAUUUGAUAUGGUCUCCUUGGACAAUGGCUUUGGAUGUUUCCCUUGGAAAACAUAUUCUUUGGCAUAAAGUUAUAACCCUCAAAUAUGGUGUUCUUUCAGGAGGUUGGUGGGCACAUCGUGGCAUCAUCCUCCUGCAAGGCAGUCGAAAGGUUUGGAUUUCCAUUAUUCCAUUAUUUAGUUGCAAAAGAUCGUAGUUGAUUGAUUGGCUUCCUUAGAUAUUUGAAGUGGUACAAGCAUGAGAUAUUGGGAAGAUGUUGCAGGGCAAUUGGCGUUUGCAUGGGGCUCUAUAACAUCCAGUAGCAAAAGCCUCUUCAUAAACCAUGUUUUGCAUUUUCUCCCAAACCACAUAGCACCCGAUCCUAAGAAGGAAUUGAAAUGAUGAACAGUUUCAAGAAUGGCUUCAUUACCUGACUCAUUCUGAUGAUAAAUGGCUUCGGGCUUGCGACAUUUCUGGAAAUUUUGUCAACAUAUCUCUCGAUCUUCCCAGGAGCGGUAUUAUCGUUCCUGAUUUGAGAGAAAAUAGAUAGUUGCUUGCCUGCAGGUCUGGUGGCAAUGAACCAUGAAGGGGAAGAAUUAUAGCAUCCAUGCAAGAUCCUUCUAAAUUGUAAACUCUUUCCUCCAACUUUGAUACUGACUUCUCUAUGUCAUCCUUCAAGAUUGAGUUGUGUUGAUAAAGAGACAAUGUGGUGAAAAUAAUGUCAGACAGAUUCCAGAUCCCCAUCUGGUUGUUGGGUA
Molecule: RNA transcript, 5341 nt
Organism: Momordica charantia (bitter melon)
Lineage: Eukaryota; Viridiplantae; Streptophyta; Magnoliopsida; Cucurbitales; Cucurbitaceae
Gene name: RUN/FYVE domain protein
Source: RefSeq, a predicted model, not a curated record